This 72-nucleotide transfer RNA is filed under the name Capra hircus (goat). It matches the Rfam family "tRNA". From Rfam's summary of the family: Transfer RNA (tRNA) molecules are approximately 80 nucleotides in length. Their secondary structure includes four short double-helical elements and three loops (D, anti-codon, and T loops). Lineage: Eukaryota; Metazoa; Chordata; Mammalia; Artiodactyla; Bovidae. The record is from Rfam by way of RNAcentral. RNAcentral also lists the same sequence under 1 other name.
UCCCUGGUGGCUCAGAUGGUAAAGCGUCUGCCUGCAAUGCGGCAGACCUGGGUUCGAUCCCUGGGUCGGGAA